UACGUAGGGGGCUAGCGUUGUCCGGAAUCAUUGGGCGUAAAGCGCGUGUAGGCGGUUCGGUAAGUCCGCUGUGAAAGUCGAGGGCUCAACCCUCGAAAGCCGGUGGAUACUGUCGGGCUAGAGUGCGGAAGAGGCGAGUGGAAUUCCUGGUGUAGCGGUGAAAUGCGUAGAUAUCUGGAGGAACACCGGUGGCGAAGGCGGCAUCCUGGACCAAUACUGACACUGAGGAGCGAAAGCCAGGGGAGCAAACGGG
RNAcentral lists this ribosomal RNA (253 nucleotides) under uncultured bacterium. RNAcentral's name for it is "partial 16S ribosomal RNA". It matches the Rfam family "Bacterial small subunit ribosomal RNA", at positions 524 to 776 of the family's 1533-position model. The record is from RNAcentral.